CUCCGGCUUUAUGUAUGCAUACAUAUAUAAACAACAACACCCCGAAACCAUAGAGUUGUCCAUAGACUCUGAAUGAGCCGCAGAGUCGGCAAGCGCGCGCGUUACUCUUUGGCUGUUCUCUCUCUAUGAUAUGGUGCAGCUCGUCUUCAGAUUUUUACCUCAGCUUUAGAGGAAUCGAAUAGCAGCAAUACGUGCAGUAUUGAGUCCUGCCGGCUGCUGCCUGGAGGCUUAUCUUCUCGGUUCCUUUACUCCUCCUUACCCGCCUCCCCCCCCCCGACAAAAUGUAAGGGAGGAAAAGGAGGAUUUCAGCGCCGCUGUGAAAUUUAAGGCGGUCUGAUGCGAAAGGGGACAUGUCUGAGCGCUCCAUGAUUUGCUCAAUUCAGUGCAGACAUUUGCUGUGUUCUAUUCACUUGAAUGCAGACACGUGGCCCUUUCACUACUCUGGCUGUAGCCCUAUGCAGACAUGGGGGAAUCUCUCAGCAUAUGCAGAGGACUCAAGAAAGGGAUCAGCUCCUCAUUUUUCACUGGGCUUUGCAAACUCCAGUGCAGUGAAAGGGAUUUCGCCCUUCAUGCCAGAAGACUUAGAAAUCUGUUAAUCCUGCUGGGCACAAGCUAGCUGUAUAAAUUCAUCAGUGAGAGAUAGAAGUAAAUGUGGAAAAUUUUACAAGACAGUCCACAGUGUCUGGAGAUUUUCUGAAAGUUGCAUUGAUUCCACUGGGGAAAAGUCACAAAGCUGCUGAAUAUUAAAAUAACCUUCAAAAUUAAAACAAUUCAGAUACAAUUUGUUGGAGUGUGAUUAGUGGUGCCUCAGCAUCUCCUACCUGACUGUAUAAAAGUCAGACAGUGUCAAAUCUCCAAAGAGCCUAGCGCUUAAGCAAUAAUUAGCCACAGUUAAAGAGCUAGCUUAAUCCAUGUUGUAUCAGCUUUUGUUAAUAUCAUUGUUGAUGUGUAUUAUUUUUAGCAUUGUUUGCUGGUAAAAUACUCAGCAAGUAAAAAAGGAGGAACUGGAUCAAUCAAAUGCAUUUAUUAAAUAUCAACAACUAGGUUUUUAUUGGUGAAUAAGGACAGAACAGGUCAAAAAGCCAGGAUCUAGAUCAAGUGGACUGCUGGCAUGUUCAAGUAUCACUUCUCAUCUUUGUGAUCUCUGAAUUAGGGAAGAGAAUAGGAAGGGCAACCUUGAAAAGCACCAGCAAAAUGCCACCAUUUUCUCUCUAGCAUGUCCUAAUGCUGAAUCUUCCUUCUAAUCCACCUUCCAACCUGGAAAGUGGCAGAGUUAAAAGACUGGGGCAUGUUAGAGAGAGGGUGACUGUACUUCCUUCAUUAUUUGUGUGUCUCAAUUUGACCCUUCUCAGAUAUUUAUUACUGUCCCUGGAGGAAGAUGGGCAAUACGUAAUCAUUUCAAGUAUACCAAGAAGAUGAGUUUUUAUUCUCUUCCCAGGUAACCCCUGUCUCACCAGUCUUUUUGCUGCUUAUUCUUCUCCUAUUUCCUGGGCAAAGGAAGAGUCAAUCUAAGGGUGUGCCAAAGGGUAGAGGCAUGCCUUGGCUUCUGUCUCUUCCUUUCCAUUUACCACCCAGGAGAAAGGAAGGCAAGAGAGAAGGAAUGUUUAGCACCUAGGAAAGGUGGCGCCAUCCCUUUGCUUCCAUGUCAUGGCAAGUAUUUGUCUUCUCAUCUGAUGUAUGAUGGAGAAAGAGAGGCUUUAAUCCUUUGCUCCCCGCCCCCCCGUCAUUUGCAUUAGGAAGGAAAUUCCCAUUUGCACCAAUAGGAGUGCGAAAGAGUCAGGAGAGAGAGCUUACUUGCAGUCUUUGGCUAAAUACCAUCUCACUCAC
Long non-coding RNA from Podarcis raffonei (Aeolian wall lizard), 1827 nucleotides. RefSeq lists it as uncharacterized. The transcript has 3 exons. Lineage: Eukaryota; Metazoa; Chordata; Lepidosauria; Squamata; Lacertidae. The record is from RefSeq and is a predicted model, not a curated record.